This 497-nucleotide ribosomal RNA is filed under the name uncultured bacterium. RNAcentral's name for it is "partial 16S ribosomal RNA". It matches the Rfam family "Bacterial small subunit ribosomal RNA", at positions 28 to 507 of the family's 1533-position model. The record is from RNAcentral.
GAUGAACGCUGGCGGCGUGCCUAAUACAUGCAAGUCGAGCGAACGGACGAGAAGCUUGCUUCUCUGAUGUUAGCGGCGGACGGGUGAGUAACACGUGGAUAACCUACCUAUAAGACUGGGAUAACUUCGGGAAACCGGAGCUAAUACCGGAUAAUAUUUUGAACCGCAUGGUUCAAAAGUGAAAGACGGUCUUGCUGUCACUUAUAGAUGGAUCCGCGCUGCAUUAGCUAGUUGGUAAGGUAACGGCUUACCAAGGCAACGAUGCAUAGCCGACCUGAGAGGGUGAUCGGCCACACGGGAACUGAGACACGGACCAGACUCCUACGGGAGGCAGCAGUAGGGAAUCUUCCGCAAUGGGCGAAAGCAUGACGGAGCAACGCCGCGUGAGUGAUGAAGGUCUUCGGAUCGUAAAACUCUGUUAUUAGGGAAGAACAUAUGUGUAAGUAACUGUGCACAUCUUGACGGUACCUAAUCAGAAAGCCACGGCUAACUACGUG